Molecule: small RNA, 164 nt
Filed under: bovine gut metagenome
Description: Clostridiales-1 RNA
Rfam family: Clostridiales-1 RNA
Source: RNAcentral
GAUAUUAGGGUUCCAAGGUCAAAAAUCCGAAUCAAGCUUGCUUGAAUGAGGAUUUUGACCUUGGAACCCGCGAAACAUGAGGAAGUAGCAAUUUGCUUGCAAAGCAAGAAAAUUAGCGGAUUCCGAAUGUUUCAGGAUUGCGAGAGUUUCGGAACGAAACGGAG